GCUUUUAAAGGAUAACAGCCAUCCGUCGGUUUUAGGAACCGAAAACUCUUGGUGCAAAUCCAAGUAUUAGCU
RNAcentral lists this transfer RNA (72 nucleotides) under Symbolophorus californiensis (bigfin lanternfish). RNAcentral describes it as "tRNA-Leu (CUN)". It matches the Rfam family "tRNA". Rfam says of the family: Transfer RNA (tRNA) molecules are approximately 80 nucleotides in length. Their secondary structure includes four short double-helical elements and three loops (D, anti-codon, and T loops). Lineage: Eukaryota; Metazoa; Chordata; Actinopteri; Myctophiformes; Myctophidae. The record is from RNAcentral.